RNAcentral lists this ribosomal RNA (650 nucleotides) under Escherichia coli. Its description in RNAcentral is "bacterial SSU rRNA". It matches the Rfam family "Bacterial small subunit ribosomal RNA", at positions 1 to 640 of the family's 1533-position model. The record is from RNAcentral. Lineage: Bacteria; Pseudomonadati; Pseudomonadota; Gammaproteobacteria; Enterobacterales; Enterobacteriaceae.
AAAUUGAAGAGUUUGAUCAUGGCUCAGAUUGAACGCUGGCGGCAGGCCUAACACAUGCAAGUCGAACGGUAACAGAAAGCAGCUUGCUGCUUUGCUGACGAGUGGCGGACGGGUGAGUAAUGUCUGGGAAACUGCCCGAUGGAGGGGGAUAACUACUGGAAACGGUAGCUAAUACCGCAUAACGUCGCAAGACCAAAGAGGGGGACCUUCGGGCCUCUUGCCAUCGGAUGUGCCCAGAUGGGAUUAGCUAGUAGGUGGGGUAACGGCUCACCUAGGCGACGAUCCCUAGCUGGUCUGAGAGGAUGACCAGCCACACUGGAACUGAGACACGGUCCAGACUCCUACGGGAGGCAGCAGUGGGGAAUAUUGCACAAUGGGCGCAAGCCUGAUGCAGCCAUGCCGCGUGUAUGAAGAAGGCCUUCGGGUUGUAAAGUACUUUCAGCGGGGAGGAAGGGAGUAAAGUUAAUACCUUUGCUCAUUGACGUUACCCGCAGAAGAAGCACCGGCUAACUCCGUGCCAGCAGCCGCGGUAAUACGGAGGGUGCAAGCGUUAAUCGGAAUUACUGGGCGUAAAGCGCACGCAGGCGGUUUGUUAAGUCAGAUGUGAAAUCCCCGGGCUCAACCUGGGAACUGCAUCUGAUACUGGCAAG